GGAAGUAAAAGUCGUAACAAGGUCUCCGUAGGUGAACCUGCGGAGGGAUCAUUACAAGAACGCCCGGGCUUCGGCCUGGUUAUUCAUAACCCUUUGUUGUCCGACUCUGUUGCCUCCGGGGCGACCCUGCCUUCGGGCGGGGGCUCCGGGUGGACACUUCAAACUCUUGCGUAACUUUGCAGUCUGAGUAAACUUAAUUAAUAAAUUAAAACUUUUAACAACGGAUCUCUUGGUUCUGGCAUCGAUGAAGAACGCAGCGAAAUGCGAUAAGUAAUGUGAAUUGCAGAAUUCAGUGAAUCAUCGAAUCUUUGAACGCACAUUGCGCCCCCUGGUAUUCCGGGGGGCAUGCCUGUUCGAGCGUCAUUUCACCACUCAAGCCUCGCUUGGUAUUGGGCAACGCGGUCCGCCGCGUGCCUCAAAUCGUCCGGCUGGGUCUUCUGUCCCCUAAGCGUUGUGGAAACUAUUCGCUAAAGGGUGUUCGGGAGGCUACGCCGUAAAACAACCCCAUUUCUAAGGUUGACCUCGGAUCAGGUAGGGAUACCCGCUGAACUUAAGCAUAUCAAUAAGCGGAGGAAAAGAAACCAACAGGGAUUGCUCUAGUAACGGCGAGUGAAGCAGCAAUAGCUCAAAUUUGAAAUCUGGCGUCUUCGACGUCCGAGUUGUAAUUUGUAGAGGAUGCUUCUGAGUGGCCACCGACCUAAGUUCCUUGGAACAGGACGUCAUAGAGGGUGAGAAUCCCGUAUGCGGUCGGAAAGGCGCUCUAUACGUAGCUCCUUCGACGAGUC
This 785-nucleotide small RNA is filed under the name uncultured Davidiella. RNAcentral's name for it is "eukaryotic LSU rRNA". The stretch from base 518 to 785 matches the Rfam family "Eukaryotic large subunit ribosomal RNA", at positions 1 to 266 of the family's 3401-position model. Lineage: Eukaryota; Fungi; Ascomycota; Dothideomycetes; Cladosporiales; Cladosporiaceae. The record is from RNAcentral.